Melanotaenia boesemani (Boeseman's rainbowfish) is the source of this 387-nucleotide long non-coding RNA. RefSeq lists it as uncharacterized. NCBI's taxonomy places the organism in Eukaryota, Metazoa, Chordata, Actinopteri, Atheriniformes, Melanotaeniidae. The record is from RefSeq and is a predicted model, not a curated record. The transcript is spliced from 5 exons.
CAGACCAGGUCACUGACACUUCAGACCAGGCCAGACCGGGCCCCUGACCCUUCAGACCGGGUCAGACAGGGUCCCUGAGCCUUCAGACCGGGUCCCUGACCCUUUAGACCAGGCCAGACCGGGUCCCUGACCCUUCAAACCUGGUCAGACAGGGUCCCUGAGCCUUCAAACUGGGUCAGACCAGGUCAGAUGGGGUCAGUCCAGGUCAGACAGGGUCCCUGAGCCUUCAGACUGGGUCAGACCAGGUCAGACAGGGUCUCUGAGCCUUCAGACUGGGUCAGACCAGGUCAGAUGGGGUCAGACCAGGUCAGACAGGAUCCCUGACCCUUCAGACCGGGUCAGACAGGGUCCCUGAUCCUUUAGACCGGGUCAGACAAGUCAGACUGG